RNAcentral lists this ribosomal RNA (540 nucleotides) under uncultured bacterium. RNAcentral's name for it is "bacterial SSU rRNA". It matches the Rfam family "Bacterial small subunit ribosomal RNA", at positions 774 to 1308 of the family's 1533-position model. The record is from RNAcentral.
ACGUAAUAGAUACCCUGGUAGUCCACGCCCUAAACGAUGUCUACUAGUUGUUGGUGGAGUAAAAUCCAUGAGUAAACGCAGCUAAACGCGUGAAGUAGACCGCCUGGGGAGUACGGUCGCAAGAUUAAAAACUCAAAGGAAUUGACGGGGGCCCGCACAAGCGGUGGAUUAUGUGGAUUAAAUUCGAUGCAACGCGAAAAACCUUACCUGGCCUUGACAUGCCACUAACGAAGCAGAGAUGCACUAGGUGCCCGUAAGGGAAAGUGGACACAGGUGCUGCAUGGCUGUCGUCAGCUCGUGUCGUGAGAUGUUGGGUUAAGUCCCGCAACGAGCGCAACCCUUGCCAUUAAUUGCCAUCAUUUAGUUGGGCACUUUAAUGGGACUGCCGGUGACAAACCGGAGGAAGGUGGGGAUGACGUCAAGUCCUCAUGGCCCUUAUGGCCAGGGCUUCACACGUAAUACAAUGGUCGGUACAGAGAGUUGCCAACCCGCAGGGGAGCUAAUCUCAGAAAGCCGAUCGUAGUCCGGAUUGUUCUCUGC